RNAcentral lists this transfer RNA (74 nucleotides) under Cytophagaceae bacterium. Its description in RNAcentral is "tRNA-Pro". It matches the Rfam family "tRNA". Rfam says of the family: Transfer RNA (tRNA) molecules are approximately 80 nucleotides in length. Their secondary structure includes four short double-helical elements and three loops (D, anti-codon, and T loops). Further hydrogen bonds mediate the characteristic L-shaped molecular structure. tRNAs have two regions of fundamental functional importance: the anti-codon, which is responsible for specific mRNA codon recognition, and the 3' end, to which the tRNAs corresponding amino acid is attached (by aminoacyl-tRNA synthetases). tRNAs cope with the degeneracy of the genetic code in two manners: having more than one tRNA (with a specific anti-codon) for a particular amino acid; and 'wobble' base-pairing, i.e. permitting non-standard base-pairing at the 3rd anti-codon position. The record is from RNAcentral. Lineage: Bacteria; Pseudomonadati; Bacteroidota; Cytophagia; Cytophagales; Cytophagaceae.
CGGGAUGUGGCGCAGCUUGGUAGCGUGCCUGCAUGGGGUGCAGGAGGUCGUGGGUUCGAAUCCCGCCAUCCCGA